GCCCAUGUAGCUCAGUGGCAGAGCACUCCCUUGGUAAGGGAGAGGUCAUGCGUUCAAUCCGCAUCAUGGGCACCA
Molecule: transfer RNA, 75 nt
Filed under: Burkholderiales bacterium
Lineage: Bacteria; Pseudomonadati; Pseudomonadota; Betaproteobacteria; Burkholderiales
Also listed under: 11 other names
Description: tRNA-Thr
Rfam family: tRNA
About the family: Transfer RNA (tRNA) molecules are approximately 80 nucleotides in length. Their secondary structure includes four short double-helical elements and three loops (D, anti-codon, and T loops).
Source: RNAcentral